CGCUGGCGGCGUGCUUAACACAUGCAAGUUGAACGGUAUGACAUGGAAGCUUGCUGAAGUGUCAUAUAGUAGCGGACGGGUGAGUAAUGCAUGAGAAGCUGCCAUUGGGAGGGGGACAACAGUUGGAAACGGCUGCUAAUACCCCGUAUGCCGGAGGGUGAAAGGGAGUAAUCCGCCCGAUGAGGUGCUCAUGUCCUAUCAGCUGGUUGGUGGGGUAACGGCCUACCAAGGCGACGACGGGUAGCCGGCCUGAGAGGGUGAACGGCCACACUGGAACUGAGAUACGGUCCAGACUCCUACGGGAGGCAGCAGUGGGGAAUAAUUGGGCAAUGGGGGCAACCCUGACCCAGCGACGCCGCGUGGGGGAAGACGGCCUUCGGGUUGUAAACCUCUUUUGUACGGGAAGAAGGAAGUGACGGUACUGUACGAAUAAGUCCCGGCUAACUACGUGCCAGCCGCCGC
This 462-nucleotide ribosomal RNA is filed under the name uncultured bacterium. Its description in RNAcentral is "bacterial SSU rRNA". It matches the Rfam family "Bacterial small subunit ribosomal RNA", at positions 34 to 518 of the family's 1533-position model. The record is from RNAcentral.